UCAGGAUGAACGCUAGCGACAGGCCUAACACAUGCAAGUCAGGGGCAGCACAAGGAGCAAUCUGAGGUGGCGACCGGCGCACGGGUGAGUAACACGUAUGCAACCUGCCUGUAAGCGGGGAAUAACCCGUUGAAAGACGGACCUAAUACCGCAUAAUACUAAAUUACUGCAUGGUAAUUAUUUAAACAUUUAUGGCUUACAGAUGGGCAUGCGCAUGAUUAGCUAGUUGGAGAGGUAACGGCUCCCCAAGGCAACGAUCAUUAGGGGUUCUGAGAGGAAGGUCCCCCACACUGGUACUGAGACCACGGACCAGACUCCUACGGGAGGCAGCAGUGAGGAAUAUUGGUCAAUGGACGAGAGUCUGAACCAGCCAAGUCGCGUGCAGGAAGAAUGUCCUAUGGAUUGUAAACUGCUUUUGCAGGGGAAUAAAGUGCAUCACGUGUGAUGUUUUGUAUGUACUCUGCGAAUAAGGAUCGGCUAACUCCGUGCCAGCCGCGGC
This 499-nucleotide ribosomal RNA is filed under the name uncultured bacterium. RNAcentral describes it as "bacterial SSU rRNA". It matches the Rfam family "Bacterial small subunit ribosomal RNA", at positions 24 to 518 of the family's 1533-position model. The record is from RNAcentral.